Molecule: ribosomal RNA, 811 nt
Filed under: uncultured bacterium
Lineage: Bacteria
Description: bacterial SSU rRNA
Rfam family: Bacterial small subunit ribosomal RNA
Source: RNAcentral
ACGAACGCUGGCGGCGUGCCUAACACAUGCAAGUCGAGCGGAGAUACCAAGGAGCAAUCCAAGGUGUCUUAGCGGCGGACGGGUGAGUAACACGUGGGUAACCUACCCCAAGGAGGGGGAUAACAGGUCGAAAGGCCUGCUAAUACCGCAUAAAGCUUAUGUAUCGCAUGAUACAUAAGCCAAAGGAGGAAUCCGCCUUGGGAUGGGCCCGCGGCCCAUUAGCUAGUUGGUGAGGUAACGGCUCACCAAGGCGACGAUGGGUAGCCGGCCUGAGAGGGUGGUCGGCCACACUGGGACUGAAACACGGCCCACACUCCUACGGGAGGCAGCAGUGGGGAAUAUUGCGCAAUGGGGGAAACCCUGACGCAGCGACGCCGCGUGAGCGAAGAAGGCCUUCGGGUUGUAAAGCUCUGUCUUCCCUGACGAAGAAAGUGACGGUAAGGGAGGAGGAAGCCACGGCUAACUACGUGCCAGCAGCCUCGGUAAUACGUAGGUGGCGAGCGUUGUCCGGAAUUACUGGGCGUAAAGGGUGCGUAGGCGGCUCCUUAAGUGAGGUGUGAAAUCCCUGGGCUCAACCCAGGAACUGCACUUCAAACUGGGGAGCUAGAGUGCAGGAGAGGAAAGCGGAAUUCCCGGUGUAGCGGUGAAAUGCGUAGAGAUCGGGAGGAACACCAGUGGCGAAGGCGGCUUUCUGGACUGUAACUGACGCUGAGGCACGAAAGCGUGGGGAGCAAACAGGAUUAGAUACCCUGGUAGUCCACGCUGUAAACGAUGAGUGCUAGGUGUGGGAGGAGUAGCCUUCCGUGCGCGC